CCCGGCCCCGGCGCCGCAGGUGCCUCCGGGGAGCUCGCAAUCCCCGGGUCAGCGCCGCCGCCCCGCGCGCCCGCACUCACCAUGGUGGCCGGGCCGUCGCCGCCCCCGCCCGGCGAGUGGCGAGAGCAGUGGACACGAGGGCGAGAGCCGAGCGCAGGAGCCGGCGCGGGUGACAGAUCUGUACUCUGUAGACACAGAAGAGGAGAGAGAAAGAGAUUUAGUUUUUAAAACAAAAAUUGGACUCCUACCAUAUGGACUGUUUCAUAUUCUACUGUUUUAUUUUUUUCAUAACAUGUUAUUGAACAAAUAUUAAUUGAGCAUCUAGUCUGUGCCAAGAACUGUGCUGGCUACUGGGCAUAGAACAGUGAAAAAGGAGACAUGGUCCCUCUCAAGGUCCCAUUCCCCCUGCUUCCUAUAAUCCCAGUUUGGCUUUAGGGACGGAACCCACACAUGAACUCUUAGCCUUAGGUGUGGCACAUGACUGAGUCCUGGCCAAUCAGAGCACUGCUUUCCCACAGC
Molecule: long non-coding RNA, 519 nt
Filed under: Equus caballus (horse)
Lineage: Eukaryota; Metazoa; Chordata; Mammalia; Perissodactyla; Equidae
Description: lncRNA (ENSECAG00000055682.1)
Source: RNAcentral